Molecule: ribosomal RNA, 465 nt
Filed under: uncultured bacterium
Lineage: Bacteria
Description: partial 16S ribosomal RNA
Rfam family: Bacterial small subunit ribosomal RNA
Source: RNAcentral
GACGAACGCUGGCGGCGUGCUUAACACAUGCAAGUCGUACGGUAAGGCCCUUUCGGGGGUCCACGAGUGGCGAACGGGUGAGUAACACGUGAGUAACCUGCCCACAACUUUGGGAUAACGCUAGGAAACUGGUGCUAAUACUGGAUAUGUGCUCCUGCUGCAUGGUGGGGGUUGGAAAGCUCCGGCGGUUGUGGAUGGACUCGCGGCCUAUCAGCUUGUUGGUGGGGUAGUGGCCUACCAAGGCGGCGACGGGUAGCCGGCCUGGGAGGGUGACCGGCCACAUUGGGACUGAGACACGGCCCAGACGCCUACGGGAGGCAGCAGUGGGGAAUAUUGCACAAGGGGCGCAAGCCUGAUGCAGCAACGCCGCGUGCGGGAUGACGGCCUUCGGGUUGGAAACCGCUUUCAGCAGGGACGAAGCUUUUUGUGACGGUACCUGCAGAAGAAGCACCGGCUAACUACGUG